Molecule: ribosomal RNA, 432 nt
Filed under: uncultured bacterium
Lineage: Bacteria
Description: partial 16S ribosomal RNA
Rfam family: Bacterial small subunit ribosomal RNA
Source: RNAcentral
AACGAACGCUGGCGGCAUGCCUAACACAUGCAAGUCGAACGAGACCUCCGGGUCUAGUGGCGCACGGGUGCGUAACGCGUGGGAACCUGCCCUUAGGUUCCGAAUAACUCCCCUUAAGGGGUGCUAAUACAGGAUAAUGUCUUCGGACCAAAGAUUUAUCGCCUUUGGAUGGGCCCGAGUUGGAUUAGCCAGUUGGUAGGGUAAAAGCCUACCAAGGCGGCGAUCCAUAGCUGGUCUGAGAGGAUGAUCAGCCACACUGGGACAGGGACAAGGCGCAGACUCGUACGAGAGGUAGCAGUGGGGAAUAAUGGACAAUGGGCGAGAGCCUGAUGCAGCAGUGCCGGGAGAGUGAUGUGGGCGUUAUGAUUGUCAAGCGCUUUUACCCGGGAUGAUAUGACGGGAACCGGGAGAAUAGGACCGGGUAAAUUCGGG